Non-coding RNA from Meleagris gallopavo (turkey), 1059 nucleotides. Lineage: Eukaryota; Metazoa; Chordata; Aves; Galliformes; Phasianidae. The record is from RefSeq and is a predicted model, not a curated record.
UCUCUCAUUUUAUUUAUUAGCCUCAAUUUCAAUGAUAUUGUAUUAUAUUGUGUUAUCUUGCAUUUCGAUAUCAUAUUUAGUAAAAUUAAGUUUUCCUUCUUAGACCGUUGAUGCCAUUCUGUUUCUGGGGCCAGCUCCCCUACCCAUGCCCUUUUCCCUUCCCAUUUUUGGGCCAGGGGACCUACGGGCCUGCUGCCCCCUGUCACGGGCACAAUUAUCUAGACAUUUCCGUGACAAUAUGGUACAAAUAUAUAGCAAGAGGGAGCAAUGGCCGUGUUACAUAGCUUGUGGGGAGUGACUUCUUUGCCUUCUGUAACAUUAGUGAUUCCCUCAUGUACUGCUUUCUUCUCUGUUCUGGGGCAAUAAGAAUUUGGCCCUAAUAAAACAGAUUUACAGCAUGACCUUUGCGCACGCGCAUGAUAUAUUGUGAUGACAGCCACUCCACUGUGAAAUAUGAUACUAUGAUCUUUCAGUUGUUUCCCUUUGGAAGAUGAGCCUUACAUGACUACACUGAUAAGCAUCAAUGUAUCAGAAAUUAUGCCAGAAUAACAGAUACUGACGUGUUGUACCGUUGGAGGAUAUUGACAUAGUUCUGAAAAAGCAAGCUUAAGGACAAGGAUCAAAGCUAGCUUGGGUCCCAUUCGCAAAGCUGCAGGUAAAAUAUUGGUCAUUUCCUCAAAAGCUCGAAGUGGACAAAACAACAGACAGACAGAUGAAGAACACAUGGUCAGAAAACAAUGGUGAAAUGAAUGGAAAAUAUAUCAAGGCCUAUUAAGACUAUUUGGAUUGAUUAACUUAAAAUGGAGGCACAACUCUGUUCAAUGAAGCUGUUUAAUAUUUAUGAGGGUUUCCCUGAAAGUAAUGUCUCCUAUUUUAUUAUGUUGGCCCACAAUGUCAGAGUGGAUGUUGGUGAUGUGUCAAUAGAUGUUGGACCUUCCCAUCAAUGUUCUGUUACAUUUUGUUGCCAUGCGACAGAUGGCAGCAGAGGGAUAAUCUCACAAAAUGGCAUCAGACAUGGAAAUACAUACGAAGCAAAGGUGUGUCACUGAAUUCCUCCAU